This 465-nucleotide ribosomal RNA is filed under the name Vreelandella stevensii. RNAcentral's name for it is "partial 16S ribosomal RNA". It matches the Rfam family "Bacterial small subunit ribosomal RNA", at positions 338 to 795 of the family's 1533-position model. Lineage: Bacteria; Pseudomonadati; Pseudomonadota; Gammaproteobacteria; Oceanospirillales; Halomonadaceae. The record is from RNAcentral.
CCUACGGGAGGCAGCAGUGGGGAAUAUUGGACAAUGGGGGGAACCCUGAUCCAGCCAUGCCGCGUGUGUGAAGAAGGCCCUCGGGUUGUAAAGCACUUUCAGUGAGGAAGAACGCCUGGUGGUUAAUACCCAUCAGGAAAGACAUCACUCACAGAAGAAGCACCGGCUAACUCCGUGCCAGCAGCCGCGGUAAUACGGAGGGUGCGAGCGUUAAUCGGAAUUACUGGGCGUAAAGCGCGCGUAGGUGGCUUGAUAAGCCGGUUGUGAAAGCCCCGGGCUCAACCUGGGAACGGCAUCCGGAACUGUCAAGCUAGAGUGCAGGAGAGGAAGGUAGAAAUCCCGGUGUAGCGGUGAAAUGCGUAGAGAUCGGGAGGAAUACCAGUGGCGAAGGCGGCCUUCUGGACUGACACUGACACUGAGGUGCGAAAGCGUGGGUAGCAAACAGGAUUAGAUACCCGUGUAGUC